CGCCUCUUGAAACAACAUAAGAGGUCCAGCCUGCCCAGUGACUAAGUUCAACGGCCGCGGUAUCCUAACCGUGCGAAGGUAGCGUAAUCACUUGUUCUUUAAAUGAGGACUAGUAUGAAUGGCACCACGAGGGUUAUGCUGUCUCCUUUUUCUAAUCAAUGAAACUGAUCCCCCCGUGAAGAAGCGGGGAUAUAUUUAUAAGACGAGAAGACCCUAUGGAGCUUUAAACCAUGUAACACUGGCUUUCACAUUAAAAUAUUCCAGAAUUUUCAUAGUUACUCUAGCCAUUACGAUUACUAGUUUUAGGUUGGGGUGACCACGGAGCAAAAAUUAACCUCCAUGUUGAAAGGAGCUACUCCUGAGCCAAAAGCCACGACUUUAAGCACUAAUAAAUUAACAUUAAUUGACCCAAUAUUUUUGAUCAACGAACCAAGUUACCCUAGGGAUAACAGCGCA
Molecule: ribosomal RNA, 456 nt
Filed under: Dendropsophus aff. minutus
Lineage: Eukaryota; Metazoa; Chordata; Amphibia; Anura; Hylidae
Description: partial 16S ribosomal RNA
Rfam family: Bacterial large subunit ribosomal RNA
Source: RNAcentral